RNAcentral lists this ribosomal RNA (253 nucleotides) under uncultured bacterium. RNAcentral's name for it is "partial 16S ribosomal RNA". It matches the Rfam family "Bacterial small subunit ribosomal RNA", at positions 524 to 776 of the family's 1533-position model. The record is from RNAcentral.
UACGGAGGAUGCGAGCGUUGUCCGGAUUUACUGGGCGUAAAGGGAGCGUAGGCGGAUUUUUAAGUGAGAUGUGAAAGCCUUCGGCUUAACCGGAGUAGUGCAUUGGAAACUGGGAGACUUGAGUGCAGAAGAGGAGAGUGGAACUCCAUGUGUAGCGGUGAAAUGCGUAGAUAUAUGGAAGAACACCAGUGGCGAAAGCGGCUCUCUGGUCUGUAACUGACGCUGAGGUUCGAAAGCGUGGGUAGCAAACAGG